AAUUAGGUCUUUUUAAACUUUUAGACUACUUCUAAAACUUUUCAAUUAAUUAUGCUAAGUUAUAUAGAUGCACAGUGAAAUUUAAACUUAGCAACAGUUUGAUGUAUAGAAUGUAACGAGAUUGAAUAUGCUUGCAACUAAAGGAUGCGCGGAUAAAAGUUAAGCAAGCAAUUUAUCUAAGUAAGUAAGUGAGUAAGUUAGACAAUGACAAGAAUCAUUACAAACACAACAAACAUAUAGUGGUUCGGUGCACCCCAGCACCUACAUCCACUCCCCAAGACCUCUUGGGAAUUUCACUAUAAUCCUACAGAUUACAGCCGGUUGUUUUACAAGCUCACAACCCAACUUGUUGUUUUGN
This 358-nucleotide long non-coding RNA is filed under the name Phoenix dactylifera (date palm). RNAcentral describes it as "long non-coding RNA (PDAC_LNC006830)". The record is from RNAcentral. Lineage: Eukaryota; Viridiplantae; Streptophyta; Magnoliopsida; Arecales; Arecaceae.